This 253-nucleotide ribosomal RNA is filed under the name uncultured bacterium. RNAcentral describes it as "partial 16S ribosomal RNA". It matches the Rfam family "Bacterial small subunit ribosomal RNA", at positions 524 to 776 of the family's 1533-position model. The record is from RNAcentral.
GACGAAGGUGGCUAGCGUUGCUCGGAUUUACUGGGCAUAAAGCGCGCGUAGGUGGUCGUGUAAGCGGGGGAUGAAAGCCCAUGGCUCACCCAUGGAACUGUCCCCCGGACUGCACGGCUCGAGGAAGGAAGGGGAGAAUGGAAUUCCCGGUGUAGCGGUGAAAUGCGUAGAUAUCGGGAGGAACGCCGGUGGCGAAAGCGAUUCUCUGGUCCUUUCCUGACACUGAGGCGCGAAAGCUAGGGGAGCAAACGGG